UGGAAUUGGCUUACACUCGCCACAAGCUACAUCAGAGUCACAUCAGUACAUUACAUAAUCAUGAAGAGUAAGACCAGGGUCCGACUACGGACGAAAAGAAACGAGAAAAAUAAGAACGACGUCCAUCCUUGCUAUACCAGGCUGCCGGCCUGGAACCCAUCCUAGAUCGAUGAAGAAGAAGAAGAAGAAGCAACUCCAAAUAAACAAUCAACGCGCUCGUGUCAAGUAACCUUUACCUGUACCUGCAACUGGUGUUGUAGUAAUCUGUGAGCCACAGGGGACUCAGCAAUCUCAUUUCCAAAGGUAUCAAGACUAACAAAGCUUAAUGGGUGAGUUAUGGUUAGUGGUGAGGUUGCAGCAGCGGCUAAGCAUAUAUUUGGUGGCUAAACUUACGAGUACAAGAAUUAGAGGGGGGAAGAUCUACGCAUAACGGACGUGACUACUGAUGAUCAAAUGAAUGAUCCUGAACACAUACCUACGUCAGACAUAAC
Molecule: long non-coding RNA, 491 nt
Filed under: Hordeum vulgare
Lineage: Eukaryota; Viridiplantae; Streptophyta; Magnoliopsida; Poales; Poaceae
Description: long non-coding RNA (HVUL_LNC007094)
Source: RNAcentral